UACGAAGGGGGCUAGCGUUGUUCGGAUUUACUGGGCGUAAAGCGCACGUAGGCGGAUCGUUAAGUCGGGGGUGAAAUCCUGGAGCUCAACUCCAGAACUGCCUUCGAUACUGGCGAUCUUGAGUCCGGAAGAGGUGAGUGGAACUCCUAGUGUAGAGGUGGAAUUCGUAGAUAUUAGGAAGAACACCAGUGGCGAAGGCGGCUCACUGGCCCGGUACUGACGCUGAGGAGCGGAAAGCGUGGGGAGCAAACAGG
This 254-nucleotide ribosomal RNA is filed under the name uncultured bacterium. Its description in RNAcentral is "partial 16S ribosomal RNA". It matches the Rfam family "Bacterial small subunit ribosomal RNA", at positions 524 to 776 of the family's 1533-position model. The record is from RNAcentral.